CCGGCCUGCCACUAAAGUGGCUUUUGCGAUUACUUUUUCCAGGUUGAUGAGCCACUAUAGUGGCUUACUCGAAUAGCUUACUAAAUCACCGUUUGAAUUAAAUAAUCGUCUUCAUAGUCAUUCAUAUUUAAGUGAAAUGUUAAAGUUUUAGUAUGUAAAAUACAAAUACGAUUACAACAGAUAAUACAAAAUGAGGAGUUAAUAAAGAAGAAAAUAGCAUUGAUAUGAAAAUAAUUGAAUCAUCGUUUUCUCUAAAAUGCUGGAUGGAGCCCUAAUUUGACGUUCAAAAUCAGCGUCAAGCGUUACCAUGGGGUUGCUCCCUAAUAGGAGUUUAGAAAAAUCUUCUUCCAAGAGAUGCAUAUGCUCUACUGCUAUUAUAAAUUCCUGUUAAAAAUUAAAGUAUUAAACAAAA
Molecule: long non-coding RNA, 412 nt
Filed under: Polistes fuscatus (common paper wasp)
Lineage: Eukaryota; Metazoa; Arthropoda; Insecta; Hymenoptera; Vespidae
Description: uncharacterized LOC122518513
Source: RNAcentral